Molecule: ribosomal RNA, 506 nt
Filed under: uncultured bacterium
Lineage: Bacteria
Description: partial 16S ribosomal RNA
Rfam family: Bacterial small subunit ribosomal RNA
Source: RNAcentral
AUUGAACGCUGGCGGCAGGCUUAACACAUGCAAGUCGGACGGUAGCACAGAGGAGCUUGCUCCUUGGGUGACGAGUGGCGGACGGGUGAGUAAUGUCUGGGGAUCUGCCCGAUAGAGGGGGAUAACCACUGGAAACGGUGGCUAAUACCGCAUAACGUCGCAAGACCAAAGAGGGGGACCUUCGGGCCUCUCACUAUCGGAUGAACCCAGAUGGGAUUAGCUAGUAGGCGGGGUAAUGGCCCACCUAGGCGACGAUCCCUAGCUGGUCUGAGAGGAUGACCAGCCACACUGGAACUGAGACAUGGUCCAGACUCCUACGGGAGGCAGCAGUGGGGAAUAUUGCACAAUGGGCGCAAGCCUGAUGCAGCCAUGCCGCGUGUAUGAAGAAGGCCUUCGGGUUGUAAAGUACUUUCAGCGGGGAGGAAGGCGGUGAGGUUAAUAACCUUGCCGAUUGACGUUACCCGCAGAAGAAGCACCGGCUAACUCCGUGCCAGCAGCCGCGGUAA